GUCUUGGAGAAACUAACAAAGUUAACCUAUUCUGGCUUAUUGGUCACAUAUUCAAGCUAUAGAAGCAUCCACUAAUACUUGCAUUAGGGUAGAUUGUCUACAUCACACCUUUAGGGUACUGCCCUUCCCUAAAUCUUGCGUGAAUUCGGGCUGCUUUACGCACUGAGUUGCCCUUUAUUGACAUCUUGUCUUUCGUAUAUGUGUGUUAUUUUACAGUGUCGAUGGAAGGUACAUAAAGUGGUAGUGAUGAUGAUAUUUCUUUAUCUGGGCUAACCGAUUUGGGCAUUGAGAUGACCCGACCUGUUCUUGGCAUGGCAACCCGAUAUGGCCUGUGAUUGCGAGUUUUGAAUCUUCUCUCGCACAUGAAACCAGUGUUUUGCAGCCAUGGCAUUGUUUGCUUCUUUUUUGCCUUAUCAUAGCACACAUCUGAGUCCCAUUUGCUUGAAGUUCAAAAAACAUUAUCUUUUCCAUGAUUUGAUGUUGGGAUAUGUCGAACCUACGACCUUCUGCCACAACUAAUAGAUUGCAAACCUAGUAACUCAAAAGGGUAGUGGUAGAAAUUUAACUGGAAUAGAAUUCAAAUCCUGCAUCUGCCUUUGGGUUUAUAUGCAUUUAUGUGUCUACCUCUGUUACACUAACAGCCUGUUUGGAUAGUUGUUCUCAUUGUAUUGUAUUGUUACUUUAAAUUGCUACACAAGAAAAACAUGAAGCAGAAAUCGUAAUGGGGUGAGAAAAAAAAUCUCAAUGGUCCCUUAUUUUAGAGUAGGUUUUAUAAUGGGGCUGUGAUGAUUGAUUUUUCGGAGUUUGAUGGAAUCAG
This 817-nucleotide long non-coding RNA is filed under the name Nicotiana benthamiana. Its description in RNAcentral is "long non-coding RNA (NBEN_LNC033904)". The record is from RNAcentral. Lineage: Eukaryota; Viridiplantae; Streptophyta; Magnoliopsida; Solanales; Solanaceae.